Long non-coding RNA from Ruditapes philippinarum (Manila clam), 2813 nucleotides. RefSeq lists it as uncharacterized. NCBI's taxonomy places the organism in Eukaryota, Metazoa, Mollusca, Bivalvia, Venerida, Veneridae. The transcript is spliced from 3 exons. The record is from RefSeq and is a predicted model, not a curated record.
AUUUGCAUGUUCGCCUAAGAAAAAUGCUUGAUUUUUAUGUCAGCUAAAAGAAAUUUUGAAAAAAUAUUAUUUUUUUUCUGUUAAAAUAAAGGAUUAUAUGUUAAAUUAAUUCUUAUGGCAUUUUGCUCUAAACUUCACGCUUUGAAAUUGUUCAUAUGCUAUUUUAUAUAUACCAGUUUAAUAAUGUACAUAAUCAUGUUUUUUCUAGUUGAAAGACCCUGAUAUAAUGUUGAAAAUGAAUCUUUUUUAAAGUUUUUUCUGUUUUGGUUUUUAUUGUAGGAGGUACUUUCACCUUACAAGCAGGAACAGAAUAUCAAAGUUUAAUUUUUAUGCAAAACAAUCGGAGAGCAAGAAUUGUUUAAAACUGUCCUUCAACACUAGAUACAGUGUAUAACCAUUCAAGUGAUGAUUCCUCUCUCAAUGUUAUAGUAUGAUGACACUCAAUAAUAUUGUGUCACAUGUAUGAACAGAAGAUCAUUUAUAGUGUGCCUGUCUAAUUACAGUGUAAUUGUGUGGACAGUAGACCAGUCUGAAUGUGAAAUGUGACAAUAUUUGAUUUUAGGUGUACCAGUCUAGUGUGAUUGUGGACAGUGAACCAGUCUGAAGGUGACAUAUGACAAUAUUUGAUUUUAGGUGUACCAGUCUAGUGUGAUUGUGGACAGCGGACCAGUCUGAAUGUGACAUGACAAUAUUUGAUUUUAGGUGUACCAGUCUGAUUAAUUAAGAGUAUUGCUACAAUGUAUAAAUCUUAUUAAUUAAAGCUUUGUAGUAUAUAAUUGAUAGUCCCAGUCAAUGGUACAAUGUACCAGUUGUAAAUUAUGGCGUGCAUGUCUGAUUAGAAUCUUACAAGACAAUAAUUUACUGUGUCCAAAUCUGAUAAAUUAAAUUGUGAAAGUCUGUUAUUUAUUAAAAUGUGAUCUGUUUAAUGAAUAAGUCUGAUUUAGAGUGUGAUAAUCUGUAAUGUACAUUGCACCAGUAUGAUACAGGUGUGUCACUAUGUAAUACACAGUGUACCAGUCUGGUAAGAAUGUAAUAAUACGUAAUAAUAUGUUAUUCAUACUGUACCAGUCUGACUAGUGUGACAAUCUGUAAUACAGUGUACCAGUCUGAUUAGUGUGACAAUCUGUAAUGCACAGUGUACCAGUCCAACUAGUGUGCCAAUCUGUAAUGCACGGUGUACCAGUCUGAUUAGUGUGACAAUCUGUAAUGCACAGUGUACCAGUCUGAUUAGUGUGACAAUCUGUAAUACAGUGUACCAGUCUGAUUAGUGUGACAAUCUGUAAUGCACAGUGUACCAGUCCGGCUAGUGUGACAAUCUGUAAUGUACAGUGUACCAGUCUGAUUAGUGUGACAAUCUGUAAUGCACAGUGUACCAGUCUCAUUAGUGUGACAAUCUGUAAUGCACAUUGUACCAGUCUGAAAAGUGUGUGACAAUCUGUAAUGCACAGUGUACCAGUCUCAUUAGUGUGAUAAUCUGUAAUGCACAUUGUACCAGUCUGAAAAGUGUGUGACAAUCUGUAAUGCACAGUGUACCAGUCUGAAAAGUGUGUGACAAUCUUUAAUGCACACUGUACCAGUCUGAAAAGUGUGUGACAAUCUGUAAUGCACAGUGUACCAGUCUCAUUAGUGUGACAAUCUGUAAUGCACAUUGUACCAGUCUGAAAAGUGUGUGACAAUCUGUAAUGCACAGUGUACCAGUCUGAAAAGUGUGGGACAAUCUGUAAUGCACACUGUACCAGUCUGAUUAGUGUAUGGCAAUCUGUAAUACUUAUUGUACCAGCCUGAUAAGAGUGGGACUAUCUGUAAUGCAUAUUGUACCAGUUAGUGUGUGACAAUUUUUAAUGCAAAGUGUACCAGUCGUAUAAGAGUGUGAUGAUCUGUUAAGCAAAGUGUAGCAGUCUGAUCAGAGUGUGACAAUUUGUAAUGCAUAUUGUGCCAGCCUGAUCAGUGUGUGACAAUCUGUAAUGCAUAUUGUGCCAGCCUGAUAACAGUGAGACAAUCUGUAUUGCACAGUGUACCAGUCUGAUUAGUAUGUAAUUAUCUGUAAUGCACAGUGUAGACUAAAUUAAGUUCAGAAUAAAUUUAAGUUUUAGCAAUUGAUAAUAAUUUAAUCGAAGAUUAACAAUUAUUUGAAACAUGUAAGCUUUAUAAUACUGAUGAGGGAAGCUAACUUCCGUCAAGUGUUAUUUUCCUGUUUUUGUCAUAAUUGAGAUUUCUUACCUUUGUCCUGUUUUUCCCAUUAUUUUCCUGUUUACCUACUUUUUAUGUGAAAAUGAAUAAGUUCAGUAUACUUUCAAUUAUUUUUGUUAAAUGAUACAUGUUAAUUCAGCUAAUGUAUGACAAACAUUGGUAAAUUAAUGGGGGGAAAAAACACAAGUCAUUAUCCCAGAGAACAGUAAACUUCUGACCUUGUGGCCUUACUAGAGCAUUUUGUGAAAAAUGGCUGUUUUCAUUGAAAAGCCUCCUGUUACAUGUUCAAAUUGCUAAGGCUUCAAUACUGUUCAAAAGUGGCACAAAUGUUGACUUGACCAUAGCCUUUGUAAAGGCAUACUUAAUCUUAAAUUUCCUAUUACCAUGGCAAGGAGCGGACAUCUCAAAAUUGCCAAGAAUCAUUAUUUUGCUUUGACUUUUCCAUUAAAAUUGAUUUUAAAGUGCUGCAACUUAUCAAUGGAUUGAGAUAGAGUCAAAUGCUUUUAAGUGUUGGUUACACGUUACCUUAUCAUCGAUCUGGGGACAUUUUUAGCCUUUCACAAGUCCAAAAUUUUCUUGGCGAUGAGGGGGACUGCCGCCCCCUUCAAAACCCCCAAACAGAA